Panthera uncia (snow leopard) is the source of this 731-nucleotide long non-coding RNA. RefSeq lists it as uncharacterized. The transcript has 3 exons. The record is from RefSeq and is a predicted model, not a curated record. NCBI's taxonomy places the organism in Eukaryota, Metazoa, Chordata, Mammalia, Carnivora, Felidae.
AGCAAAUACUUCCUGUGCCUCUACCACAUGCCAGGACCCAGCUAGGCGAUUGCCAGCUCUCAGUCCAGAGCAUGGUCUUACAGCCUUUUCUCUGCCCUGGGUAGCCUCUUCCAGACUGUAUCCGCACAGCAACGCCCCACACCCCCAGCCCCGACAUCUGCCCCAGCCCUGUCAUCCCAAACACAGAGGUCUUUGUCCGGGACUGGAUGUGGGUAUUGGGUAUGAGUGUCACAGUCUCUGCGGCCAGCUCACAAUGGCCCUUCCCACCUACUUCCCACAGCCACCCCAACCCUGUGGUCACUUUCUGAACCUCCCUAGUGGCCUCUGAUUUCUUUCUGGACAUGGCCAGCAAAAGGAAGUGGGGAGAUGACUCAGAGGUGUGAUGUGGCCUUAACAGAUGUGUCGUUGCGAUGACAUUCCCUAAGGAGGAAAUCAGGAGAGAACAGUUGGUAUCUUUGCACUACCCAGAACCCAGACGCUCCUUCCAGUCAACUCAAUUAUCUGCACCAAUGAACUGGGAAAAGAGGCACUGCUAACUAACAUGUGCUGGGAUCUGUGGAUGGACAUACUAGGCAGAGAAAAAUCUUGAGUGCAAGAAGGUGAUUUGCUGAAAGGUAACGAGCCCUAGACUGGUGGCCAGAAGACCUGCCUGCUGUCUAGGCUGGCCUCUAAAGCACCCUGGCUGUGUGGCUUUGAGUCCAUUGCCUUCUGGAUCUUGUCCCUAAAAGGGG